AUGUAUCGUCUAGGAACGUCAGAAGCUACAGCCAUAAAGUCUCACCAAUAUGACGGCUCAAGUGUGAGCGGAACAACAGAUGUGCUACAAGGCUGGGGAGAUGUGUCAGCAGUUAAGAGUGUGGACCGCGCUCUUUCUCUUCAACGAGGCGGCCGAGCGGCAGACGCCAACAUGCAGAUCUUCCCUGACGGGUAAGACCAUCACUCUUGAGGUCGAGCCCAGUGACACCAUCGAGAAUGUCAAGGCCAAGAUCCAAGACAAGGAAGGCAUCCCCCCUGACCAGCAGAGACUGAUCUUUGCUGGCAAACAGCUGGAGGAUGGCCGCACCCUGUCCGACUACAACAUCCAGAAAGAGUCCACCUUGCACCUGGUGCUGCGUCUUCGCGGUGGCAUCAUCGAGCCGUCCCUUCGUCAGCUUGCCCAGAAGUACAACUGUGACAAGAUGAUCUGCCGCAAGUGCUACGCACGCCUGCACCCCCGUGCAGUCAACUGCCGCAAGAAGAAGUGCGGCCACACCAACAACCUGCGCCCCAAGAAGAAGGUCAAAUAGAGCUGGGCCAUACCUGGCCUGUGACCCCGGGACCAAAUAAAGUCCCCUUCCAUCGACUGGA
This is an RNA transcript of Rattus rattus (black rat), 611 nucleotides long. It is a transcript of the gene named ubiquitin-60S ribosomal protein L40-like, with no coding region annotated. The transcript is spliced from 2 exons. The record is from RefSeq and is a predicted model, not a curated record. NCBI's taxonomy places the organism in Eukaryota, Metazoa, Chordata, Mammalia, Rodentia, Muridae.